Brassica oleracea var. oleracea is the source of this 319-nucleotide long non-coding RNA. RefSeq lists it as uncharacterized. Lineage: Eukaryota; Viridiplantae; Streptophyta; Magnoliopsida; Brassicales; Brassicaceae. The transcript has 3 exons. The record is from RefSeq and is a predicted model, not a curated record.
GCAUGUACUAACUUUUAUUUAUUGACUGAUUACACGGUUGCAUAUAAGACACAUAGUGAAGAAAAAAAGAGACUGAAACAGACGAAGGAAAUAGUAAAAACUUGUCUUCCAUAUCAGUAUCUUUCAGGUUAUGUAGGUGUUAUUGAUAAGAAUUCUAGAUGUUGGAGAAGAAAGAUCAUUCAAGGGAGAAGCUCAAAUACCAAAUAUAAUUGCGAACUUUGCGGACAAAACCAAGGUAACUAACUGUGGAGGCAUUCGAUGGCUUUUAAGGAGAUUAGGAAGCAAUAUAAGAGAUGUGAAAACAUAUAUAGCUCGGAGA